This 301-nucleotide ribosomal RNA is filed under the name uncultured bacterium. RNAcentral's name for it is "partial 16S ribosomal RNA". It matches the Rfam family "Bacterial small subunit ribosomal RNA", at positions 509 to 807 of the family's 1533-position model. The record is from RNAcentral.
CAGCCGCCGCGGUAAUACGAAGGGUGCAAGCGUUAAUCGGAAUUACUGGGCGUAAAGCGUGCGUAGGCGGUUUGUUAAGUCUGCUGUGAAAUCCCCGGGCUCAACCUGGGAAUGGCAGUGGAUACUGGCAAGCUAGAGUGUGUCAGAGGAUGGUGGAAUUCCCGGUGUAGCGGUGAAAUGCGUAGAGAUCGGGAGGAACAUCGGUGGCGAAGGCGGCCACCUGGGACAACACUGACGCUGAGGCACGAAAGCGUGGGGAGCAAACAGGAUUAGAUACCCGCGUAGUCCCUGUCUCUUAUAC